RNAcentral lists this ribosomal RNA (449 nucleotides) under uncultured bacterium. RNAcentral's name for it is "partial 16S ribosomal RNA". It matches the Rfam family "Bacterial small subunit ribosomal RNA", at positions 29 to 523 of the family's 1533-position model. The record is from RNAcentral.
AAUGAACGCUGGCGGCAGGCCUAACACAUGCAAGUCGAACGGUUCCUUCGUGAUUAGUGGCGGACGGGUGAGUAACGCGUGGGAACAUACCCAAAGGUACGGAAUAGCCUCGGGAAACUGGGAGUAAUACCGUAUGUGCUCGAAAGAGGAAAUAUUUAUCGCCUUUGGAUUGGCCCGCGUUGGAUUAGGUAGUUGGUGGGGUAAUGGGCUACCAAGCCGACGAUCGCUAGUUGGUUUGAGUGUAUGGUCAGCCACUCUGGGACUGAGACACGGUCCACACUCCUUCGGAAUGCAGCAGUGGGGAAUUUUCGAUAAUGGGGUUAGCCCUAAUCUAUUCAUGUUGCGUGAGCGAUGAGGGCCUUAGGGUUGUCAUGAUCUUUCUGGUGGGAAUAUAAUGACUGUACCAGCAGAACAAGCCCCGGCUAACUCCGUGCCAGCCGCCGCAGAAA